UGGGGAAUCUUGCACAAUGGGGGAAACCCUGAUGCAGCGACGCCGCGUGAGCGAUGAAGGUUUUCGAAUCGUAAAGCUCUGUCCUAUGGGAAGAUAAUGACGGUACCAUGGGAGGAAGCCCCGGCUAACUACGUGCCAGCAGCCGCGGUAAUACGUAGGGGGCGAGCGUUGUCCGGAAUUACUGGGCGUAAAGGGUUCGCAGGCGGCAUGGCAAGUCCGAUGUAAAAGGCGAAGGCUCAACCUUCGUAAGCAUCGGAAACUAUCAAGCUUGAGUGAAGGAGAGGCAAGUGGAAUUCCUAGUGUAGCGGUGGAAUGCGUAGAUAUUAGGAGGAAUACCGGUGGCGAAGGCGACUUGCUGGACUUCAACUGACGCUGAGGAACGAAAGCGUGGGUAGCAAACAGG
Molecule: ribosomal RNA, 403 nt
Filed under: Fusobacteriota bacterium
Lineage: Bacteria; Fusobacteriati; Fusobacteriota
Description: Fusobacteria bacterium partial 16S ribosomal RNA
Rfam family: Bacterial small subunit ribosomal RNA
Source: RNAcentral